RNAcentral lists this ribosomal RNA (497 nucleotides) under uncultured bacterium. RNAcentral's name for it is "partial 16S ribosomal RNA". It matches the Rfam family "Bacterial small subunit ribosomal RNA", at positions 28 to 507 of the family's 1533-position model. The record is from RNAcentral.
GAUGAACGCUGGCGGCGUGCCUAAUACAUGCAAGUCGAGCGAACAGAUGAGGAGCUUGCUCCUCUGACGUUAGCGGCGGACGGGUGAGUAACACGUGGAUAACCUACCUAUAAGACUGGGAUAACUUCGGGAAACCGGAGCUAAUACCGGAUAAUAUAUUGAACCGCAUGGUUCAAUAGUGAAAGACGGUUUUGCUGUCACUUCUCGCUGCAUCCGGGCCGCAUUAGCUAGUUGGUAAGGUAACGGCUUACCACGGCAACGAUGCGUAGCCGACCUGAGAGAGUGAUCGGCCACACUGGAACUGAGACACGGUCCAGACUCCUACGGGAGGCAGCAGUAGGGAAUCUUCCGCAAUGGGCGGAAGCCUGACGGAGCAACGCCGCGUGAGUGCUGAAGGUCUUCGGAUCGUAAAACUCUGUUAUUAGGGAAGAACAAAUGUGGAAGUAACUAUGCACGUCUUGACGGUACCUAAUCAGAAAGCCACGGCUAACUACGUG